UCUCCAGCCUACCAAGGUCCUGCUGAAUGGCAGCACAGCCUUUGAGAGUAUCAGCUUCUCCCACACUGUUUUUAUCACCGCAAAUUAAUCUGAAUUAUCCUGUAAGAUUGUGUGGAGAAUUUCCAGCUGGUGCCCGGCUGCCCCACAGCGAUGGCUCCUGCCCCUGAGCCCAGCAGGGAGGCCGGAGGGCAGGGAUCACACCGUGCUGUUCGCUUUGGUGGCCACCGGGUGUCAUUCUAGGAGCAGCCUUUGGCCAGCCCUGGAGCACGACUGUGGCAGCACACUUUCUCUUCUUCAUGGCAUGCUUUGAGCAUCAGUUACAGCUGACGAUAAGAACUCUGGUUUAUUGUGAGCAUUCCUUUCACAAUUAUAUUCUGCAGUAAAAGGCAACAGUCAUGGUAAUCAGUUUGAGCCCUGGGAAGUGUAUUCCAGAAUCCUGGAAUCAACCAGCUAAAGCUGAAACUGAAAGAGAGCGUACUUGCCAUCUGGAGUGAAACAGAAAACCCAUAGCAGCUGGUUGCUGGCUAUGUAACCAAAAGAAAAGAAAUUUGUAAGUAAUUGUCUGAAAUCUGUUAACUGGAGAGAAUAAAUGGAUAAUGAAGAAUACAGAAAGGAUAACUCUUUGGGAGCUGGACAGAAGAUAAAUCUGUGAACUGGAGUUCUGCUAUGGAAACAACAGCUUUCCCCUCUCUGGAGGACACUGUGCAAUGUUCAGACUUUGUGUUCACCAAGGUGUUACUGACUAAAGUCCAGCUGUGAGAGACCAGAGAAAUUGUCCAUUUGAACUGAACGUAAGCGCUCAGCUCCUGAGCAGAGAGGUCAAACGAGUCAACAGGAGGCAGGGUUACUGCCAGAGAGGCUUCAGAGCUGUAAAUGUGCUCCUGAUCCCUUGCAACACAGCACAAGACUCUUCAAGAUGCCAACCAAGUGUAAUGGUGCAAGCAGCCUGGCUUUUUGAGGGAAUACAAGGGUCUAUCCAAACUCUUUGGCUGGAAAAUCAUUCAGGUCAAAGGAUGCACCCAGCAGCAGGAAUGCCUUGGCCCACAGACUGUGGUAGCAUAGGUUAUUUACUGCCUGUGUACUCACCACACCUUGAUUCACCAUUGCCUCAAAAUGCUCUCAUCCUUAGCUAUAAGAA
Molecule: long non-coding RNA, 1138 nt
Organism: Passer montanus (Eurasian tree sparrow)
Lineage: Eukaryota; Metazoa; Chordata; Aves; Passeriformes; Passeridae
Exons: 6
Source: RefSeq, a predicted model, not a curated record